GAAAUCCAGAUGGUGCCUCCGACAGCUCCUCCUCACCAGCCUGGGCUCAGCUCUCACAUUCUCCCUCCUCUGACAAGGCUCAGAGCCCGUUUGGAAUGUGCUCAGGUCCUGCAGACGGGCGAGAUGUGCUUGGAAAGGCCAAACUACGCAAUUAGCGCUGUUUAAAAUUAAUGGUGGUGGUGAUUAAGAGGCAGAAAUACUGCUCCGGAAAUAAUCAGUGAGAAGUGUGGACUGUCUGGAAUGAGUAAUCCCAGCUGUGGCUGCAAUGGCCUGGGGUGCUCCUGGAAUGAUUAAUCGUUCAAGUGUGAGAAGCCACAUGAGUCAAAUUCUUGGCGCUGUUUGUGUCAGAGAGGAGGAAUGCUGCAUUCCCAGCACCACACCCACUCCUUUAAUCCCUCUGGAUUCACAUCAAAUGUGUCCCGACAAGAGUUUCCUUGGGGGAAUGCUGUGAUCCAUGUCCAUGUGCAUCCACCUGACAGGAAACUCAACGCUCCAGGUCUUGCACCUCGAACCGGCUGGCAUUGAUUUAGAUAUUCUGCAGAACAGAGCCUUUCCCUGGGAAAAAAAAAAAUCCAUGGAUUAAAAAGUGCUUUAAAAAAUGGCUCUGGGUUUACACUAAUGGAAAUGUGAAUUAUUCAUCCCCAAAAGAAAGGAAAACCCACUAUUUCUCUUGGUUUUUUGCUUAAAAUGGGUCAGAAAUGCUCCAAGGACCCAGCAGCAGCCACAGAUUCUCUGGGAAUUCAAUCCCAGCCCCUCAUGGGAGGAAUUCCCUCCUAAAAUCCAGUGUAAGCUUCCCCUUGUCUCAGUUUAAACCCCUUUGUCCCACCCGCCCUUCCAUGAGUGAAGAAUUCCACCCUCCACAAUAACCAACCCCUCGCCCAGCUCUGGGAGCAGGUGCUGGGAAAGGCUGAAACCAUCCAGUUUUGGAAAAGAGAGGAAGUUUGGGCUUCUCCUGGGUCUCCUGGAUGCCAAGACAUCCUGGAAGGCGGCAGCUCCGUCCCAGCCUGGAGCACCCAGCGCUGGUGUCGGAGCUCGCAGGGGCGGCAGAUUUCCUCCCGCUGCCUCGUGUGUGAGCAGCUCCCCAGGCUUGGAGAGGGAAUGGGUGCGACUCCAACCCUCAGCUGCUGCUCCCAGCCCCUGUCCUGCUCUCCGGGCCAGCUCUGAGCCAGCACCAGGCAGGAUGGAUCCUCCACAGCUCCAGGCGCGGAGCGGGUGUGAGAAGUCGCACCCCGAGGAGCUGCUGAUGGAUCUUUCCAGCCUGAAAACCGCCUUUUCCCUGCUCCUGCUUUUAGCCAGCAGCUGUCAGGGAAGAUUAGAGGAGGGAAGGUGACGUGGAAUGAAGAAAAGGAGUGCUGAGAUGGGGAUAAAGCCCCAUCGUGGCACUGCUGGGUGUCAGAUUUCUGCUUCAUGGCCUUACCUUGUUAGCAAAGAAAAACAAAAAUCCCCAACACCAGCAGUAAAAUCAGCUCCUGGGUGACCCAGGCAUUUUCUUCACAGAGAAAAUGGGGAUAUUUCAAGUAAAUUGCUUUUGCAAGCAAACUGCCACCUUUCAGCACCUCCUUUCAGCCCCUUCGAGCCAAACUGGUGGGGAGAAGGUGAAGGUUCCUUGCCCCCACGCCACCAACCCCUUCUCAGGAGUCAGCUGAGAUUCCCAGGGGAAUUCCUUGGAAAACUGUCCCAGUCCUUGGCUCUGGUGUGUUUGACAUCCCAGAUCAGCAUCAGCCAGGCUGGAGAGGGGCAGUGAGGCACUGGAAUGGAGAGGAUGUGGGAGCACUCCAGGUGAAAAACCUCUGGCAGUCCCUUUCCAAGCAAACCCUCCUGGGAUAUCUCAGGAAGGCUUUCAGAGGAAAAUCUUGGAGCAAUUUGGGAAGCCAAAAUUCCCAGAGGAGCUGUGGCUGCCCCAGAAUCCUUGGAAGUGUCCAAGGGCAGGUUGGGGCAACCUGGGGCAGUGGGAGAUGUCCCUGUCCGUGGUGGCACUGGAUGGACUUUUAAGGUUCCUUCCCACCCAAACUAUUCCAGGCUUCCAUGAUUUUUCAUCUCUGUGGCUGCAAAUCCACAGAUGGAGCUGGAAUCACUUCCAGGCAAUUCCAGACUCAUCUCAGGGGUUUGGUCACAGAGUUUUGAGCUCUGGUGACCACAAAAAAAGCAGAGGCCUCUGGUAAUGGACAAGGGGACAUUGUCUUGCAGCUCUAAAUGGCAAGGACAACAACCUGGGAGCCCCAGGACUGAGCUGGGCAUUUCUUGGCAUUUGGAAACGGCCACAGGUUGUGCCAGGGGAGGCUGAAGUUGGAUAUUGGGAACAUUUCCUCCCAUAAAGGGCAGUGGUGCAGUCCCCAUUCCUGGGGGGAUUUAACACCCUGGGGAUGUGGCACUUGGGGACGUGGUCAGUGUGGCCUUGGUGAGGCUGGACCUGAUGACCUUACAUGGCUUUUCCAACCCAAACAAUUCCUGAUUCCCUGAUUUCUGUUGUGAUUUUUCAUGGUAUAACUUCAGCGAAGAAGC
This is a long non-coding RNA of Passer domesticus (house sparrow), 2502 nucleotides long. RefSeq lists it as uncharacterized. The record is from RefSeq and is a predicted model, not a curated record. Lineage: Eukaryota; Metazoa; Chordata; Aves; Passeriformes; Passeridae. The transcript has 4 exons.